This 1082-nucleotide long non-coding RNA is filed under the name Betta splendens (Siamese fighting fish). RNAcentral's name for it is "lncRNA (ENSBSLG00000025987.1)". The record is from RNAcentral. Lineage: Eukaryota; Metazoa; Chordata; Actinopteri; Anabantiformes; Osphronemidae.
UGUACCGUGCUGACGUCAGACUGUUUGUUUGUCUAUGUGUUUGUUUGUUUUGGCGGCGGAUUACGUUGUCAAAAUGUGGAGCUGUGGUCGGAAAUGAUAAUGAAACCCAGUAUUCAUCUUAAGUAUAGUAUUGCGUUGAGGUGAUGUGAUGUGAGAACCCGCAGCUGCCUGGUUCUAAAUCCACCCAGUCCACACUGAGCACUGGGAUCAGUUUAGGAGGCGUCAUGUGUGCGUGCACCUGAUGGACACACGCACGAGCACGACACUCUCUCACGCUCAACUUUAGUUCUCUAUAAAGUGCUGAGGGAAACCUCUGGCUCUUUAGCUGCUAAACGAACCGUAGCAAAAAAAGCUGCAGACUGUCCACGCAAAGCAACGAGCUGCAGGAGGUGACGGGCUGACAAUUAACUCCAGCGCAUUGAAUAGUUUGCACAGUGCAUGUAUCAUGUCUCAUUAAAAACGGAAUUCUUAAAUCAUAUAUAUUUUCAAAACGUGUGUGUGUGUGUGUGUGUGUGUGUGUAUAAAAUAUGUUAGUCUGCAAUAAGAGCAUAAAGAGACAGCACUUCUCCAGUCAAGUUAAAAUGACAUAUGAGGAGGUGUAGGUGCUGAGGUCCCUGAGGCUCUGACCACUUAUCACAGGUGAAGGAGGAGUUUAAGGAAGAACAGCUGCAGGAGCGUUAUCUGCUUUUGGAAUAUUAUUAACAGCAACAACAAUGCCGUAUCUGGCCGGCGCUGCCCAGAAGUGUUUCUGUCAGAGAACAGUCAGAGGGAAGGAGUCCUUUUUUUGUCCAGGAUUUCAUCAGCAGAUCAAGCUUUUCAUCAUCGCCUGAGAGUAACAGAUCUCCACACCGCUGUAACGUUGCAGCACGACGCACUGGAGGAGUGUUGAACCAGCGCUUCAACCGGUCUGACAUUGUUUCCCCAUUAGGUGUCCUCCACUGGACGUCCACUAUUUGAUUUUCUGGAAUCAACAACUACCGGUAAUGAUUGUUGUUCCUGACCUGAUUUACAUGUGCCACUCACAUAAUGUAAAGGCAACAGGUCAGAACACUUGCUUAUGCAAAACGCUCACGCAUUGGUUA